AUGAUACGCAGAUUUGUGAAGCGUUCCAUAUU
This 32-nucleotide small nuclear RNA is filed under the name Cervus elaphus hippelaphus. The record is from RNAcentral. Lineage: Eukaryota; Metazoa; Chordata; Mammalia; Artiodactyla; Cervidae.